Molecule: small nuclear RNA, 106 nt
Organism: Cebus imitator (Panamanian white-faced capuchin)
Lineage: Eukaryota; Metazoa; Chordata; Mammalia; Primates; Cebidae
Source: RefSeq, a predicted model, not a curated record
GUGCUUGCUUUGGCAGGACAUAUACUAAAAUUGGAAUGAUGCAGAGAAGAUUAGCAGGCCCCUGUGCAAGGAUGACAUUCAAAUUCAUGGAACAUUCCAUAUUUAA